UUCUGGCCUAUGAUUAAUAGGAGGACAGUCUUUCAAGACGAAGAUUUCUGCUGGGGUCUGGGAGGGGAGGGGAAAGUCUAGGGCCUGAGAGCAGAGGGAAAAUGAGAGCAGAGGGUCAGGGAAAACGCCUUGGCCGGAGAGGUUGGUUUUCUGCUCAGGGCUCCCUGGGAAGCAAGACGAGGAGGAGGCGGGAUCCAGCCUUGGUUGAGAGGACUGUCAGCUUCUUUCUCCUAGAUUGGAGUGAACUCUACUGCUGGGCUGAGCUGCAUUCACCGCCCCACCUGUAUUCUUUAACGCUCACCCAGUUCCCAAGUCAAGGGUCCUGAAACAGACCGGGCAAAAGCCACAGGAGCAGUGUUCCUUGGGGAGUCUGAGGCGCCGCUGCAGCCAUUUCCUACGAAAUCCACAUCAGAUCAGCUUCAGGAUGUGGUAACCAAAGUCUUUGCCCUGCAGGAGCUAAAGACAAUAAAUAACUGAAUACA
Non-coding RNA from Heterocephalus glaber (naked mole-rat), 482 nucleotides. The record is from RefSeq and is a predicted model, not a curated record. NCBI's taxonomy places the organism in Eukaryota, Metazoa, Chordata, Mammalia, Rodentia, Bathyergidae.